Molecule: ribosomal RNA, 372 nt
Filed under: uncultured Macrococcus sp.
Lineage: Bacteria; Bacillati; Bacillota; Bacilli; Caryophanales; Staphylococcaceae
Description: bacterial SSU rRNA
Rfam family: Bacterial small subunit ribosomal RNA
Source: RNAcentral
GGGAGUGCUCGCAAGAGAACCGGAACACAGGUGCUGCAUGGCGUGUCGUCAGCUCGUGUCGUGAGAUGUUGGGUUAAGUCCCGCAACGAGCGCAACCCUUGUCAUUAGUUGCCAUCAUUUGGUUGGGCACUCUAAUGAGACUGCCGGUGACAAACCGGAGGAAGUGGGAUGACGUCAAAUCAUCAUGCCCCUUAUGAUUUGGGCUACACACGUGCUACAAUGGAUGGUACAAAGGGCAGCAAAACCGCGAGGUCAAGCAAAUCCCAUAAAACCAUUCUCAGUUCGGAUUGUAGUCUGCAACUCGACUACAUGAAGCUGGAAUCGCUAGUAAUCGUAGAUCAGCAUGCUACGGUGAAUACGUUCCCGGGUCUU